ACACAGAGACAGCAACACAGAGAGACAGCAACACAGAGAGACAGCCACACAGCAACAGCCACACAGAGACAGCAACACAGAGAGACAGCCACACAGCAACACAGAGACAGCCACACAGAGAGACAGCCACACAGAGACUGCAACACAGAGAGACAGCAACACAGAGACAGACAGCCACACAGAGAGACAGCCACACAGAGACAGACAGCCACACAGAGAGACAGCCACACAGAGAGACAGCCACACAGAGAGACAGCCACACAGAGAGACAGCCACACAGAGAGACAGCCACACAGAGACAGCCACACAGAGACUGCGACACAGAGACAGCCACACAGACAGCAACACAGAGACUGCAACACAGAGACAGCAACACAGACAGCAACACAGAGACUGCAACACAGAGACAGCAACACAGACACAGACAGCAACACAGAGACAGCAACACAGAGACAGCAACACAGACACAGACAGCAACACAGAGACAGCAACACGGACACAGCCACACAGAGACAGCAACACAGAGACAGCAACACAGACACAGACAGCAACACAGACACAGCAACACAGACACAGCAACACAG
Pelobates cultripes (western spadefoot toad) is the source of this 584-nucleotide non-coding RNA. Lineage: Eukaryota; Metazoa; Chordata; Amphibia; Anura; Pelobatidae. The record is from the annotation of a GenBank genome assembly.